GAUCCUGGCUCAGGAUGAACGCUGGCGGCGUGCUUAACACAUGCAAGUCGAACGAAGCACUUUAUUUGAUUUCCUUCGGGACUGAUUAUUUUGUGACUGAGUGGCGGACGGGUGAGUAACGCGUGGGUAACCUGCCUUGUACAGGGGGAUAACAGUUGGAAACGGCUGCUAAUACCGCAUAAGCGCACAGUAUCGCAUGAUGCAGUGUGAAAAACUCCGGUGGUAUAAGAUGGACCCGCGUUGG
This 244-nucleotide ribosomal RNA is filed under the name uncultured bacterium. RNAcentral's name for it is "partial 16S ribosomal RNA". It matches the Rfam family "Bacterial small subunit ribosomal RNA", at positions 15 to 239 of the family's 1533-position model. The record is from RNAcentral.